UGCCCAUUGGCCCAGUGGUUAAGGCGUCUGACUGUUAUUCACAGAAAAUCAGAAGAUCCCUGGUUCGACCCCAGGAUGGGCAG
RNAcentral lists this transfer RNA (83 nucleotides) under Hypoxylon sp. FL0890. RNAcentral describes it as "tRNA-Asn". It matches the Rfam family "tRNA". From Rfam's summary of the family: Transfer RNA (tRNA) molecules are approximately 80 nucleotides in length. Lineage: Eukaryota; Fungi; Ascomycota; Sordariomycetes; Xylariales; Hypoxylaceae. The record is from RNAcentral.